UCUUUUUGUGGAAGAAAGGCGUUGCUUACGAUGCCCUUUCUUCCCUUUUUUUUUUUUUUAGCCGGCUCUUUUAUUUUUUCAAUUUUAGCUGUUAAUGAUAAAGCUCGACGCUUUGAGAAGUAUCUAGAUUGUAGAUAAAUGUAAUCUAUCUAUAAGAUAAAUAUAAUUAAAAAUUGAAACAAAACAGAAAAAAGGAAAGAAUUGCACGAGUUAUAAAGUCCAAGUUGAAGGCUGCAACCCGCACGGGAUCGGUUGCUGAUGAUGGGGAAGCUUUAGCCCAAUACUCUUUGCAGUUCGAAAGUGGAAGCAUUUUCGCGACUCCUUCGAUUGGAGCAGCAGCUUCCGCUUUCAAUUGCAAAGGGAAUUGAGUCGAGCUUUUGUCUGUGAUUGUUGGAUUUUUCUUCGAGGAAUUCUUUUCGAUAAAGAUGCUUUCAUCGCCGAGGACGAUUCCAAGUUCACAUCGUCAAAUGGCAUAAACGCCGGGAGAAUACAAGGGUGAUCCACCACACACUGAUGUUUUUUAGAGUGCAUAUUUGUUCCUCGUAUUGACUGCAGGCUGGAGAUUAGGAACUCAAACACAAAGACAAGCUGUUAUCUCUGUUAGGAUUUUCAUGAGAAUUUUUUUAAAAUAUAUUAAUUAGAAAAAGGUUAAAUUAAUUUAAAUUAAAAAUUAAUGUUUUAGAAAUAAGAAUGUUAAUUUUUUUUUUAGUUUUUUAAUUUUUUAUUUAAAAAAUAGUGUUGGUUUUCAAUUACAAUGUUAAAAAGUAUUUUACUAUGUGUACAAGGAGAGGAAAAUAUGAGAGAGGUAAAAGAAAGUGGAUGAGAAGCUAUUUUCUCAAAGGAGAAUAAAAGAGAAAAUUUUUUUUUUUUU
Molecule: long non-coding RNA, 871 nt
Organism: Manihot esculenta (cassava)
Lineage: Eukaryota; Viridiplantae; Streptophyta; Magnoliopsida; Malpighiales; Euphorbiaceae
Exons: 2
Source: RefSeq, a predicted model, not a curated record